CCAUUGAGAAGUACCAGUUCAGUCUUUACCCAAUAUUUAUGGAAGGAGUGGGAAAACCAAAGAUAAUUAAUAGUUUCACUCAAGAUGAUAUUGAAAAACACCAGAAUGAUGCAGGUUUAUAUGUAAUUGUGCCAGUAAUUAUUUCCUCUUCCAUCUUAUUGCUUGGAACAUUAUUAAUAUCACACCAAAGAAUGAAAAAGCUGUUUUGGGAAGAUGUUCCAAACCCCAAGAAUUGUUCCUGGGCACAAGGACUUAAUUUUCAGAAGGUUGCUUUUUCAAUUUUUUUUAACCCAGAAUAUAUAAGAUUGCAAUCUAGAUGCCAUAUGACUUAUAGAGCAUUCAGCAUUUUUAAGAUUUAAAAGUUCAUAUUUUAUUCAAUUCAUCUUAAUGUAUCUGUUAUUAUAUAUUUUCAAGAAUAGCAGGAUGCAGGGAUUUGAAAUCAGGAAGAAACAAAUGUCAAUGCAUAGUUUAUCGUAUGAGAGUUCACAAUAUACAUAUGUUGCUUCUGUGUCACAGUACAUAAUAAAAUAAAUAUUAGAAAGUUAAGGGUCAAUCUGAUGGAGAACAUAUAUUUGGAUACACUUUUUUUGGUAUAAACUGUAUUUAGGCAAAAGGCUGGAAUCAGUAUUUUUAAUGUCUAUAAUUAUCUCCAUAAUUAUUUAAAUAAAU
RNAcentral lists this small RNA (669 nucleotides) under Pongo abelii (Sumatran orangutan). RNAcentral's name for it is "processed transcript". The record is from RNAcentral. Lineage: Eukaryota; Metazoa; Chordata; Mammalia; Primates; Hominidae.